This 669-nucleotide ribosomal RNA is filed under the name Salmonella enterica. RNAcentral describes it as "partial 23S ribosomal RNA". It matches the Rfam family "Bacterial large subunit ribosomal RNA", at positions 2274 to 2925 of the family's 2925-position model. RNAcentral also lists the same sequence under 1 other name. Lineage: Bacteria; Pseudomonadati; Pseudomonadota; Gammaproteobacteria; Enterobacterales; Enterobacteriaceae. The record is from RNAcentral.
CUGGGGCGGUCUCCUCCUAAAGAGUAACGGAGGAGCACGAAGGUUGGCUAAUCCUGGUCGGACAUCAGGAGGUUAGUGCAAUGGCAUAAGCCAGCUUGACUGCGAGCGUGACGGCGCGAGCAGGUGCGAAAGCAGGUCAUAGUGAUCCGGUGGUUCUGAAUGGAAGGGCCAUCGCUCAACGGAUAAAAGGUACUCCGGGGAUAACAGGCUGAUACCGCCCAAGAGUUCAUAUCGACGGCGGUGUUUGGCACCUCGAUGUCGGCUCAUCACAUCCUGGGGCUGAAGUAGGUCCCAAGGGUAUGGCUGUUCGCCAUUUAAAGUGGUACGCGAGCUGGGUUUAGAACGUCGUGAGACAGUUCGGUCCCUAUCUGCCGUGGGCGCUGGAGAACUGAGGGGGGCUGCUCCUAGUACGAGAGGACCGGAGUGGACGCAUCACUGGUGUUCGGGUUGUCAUGCCAAUGGCACUGCCCGGUAGCUAAAUGCGGAAGAGAUAAGUGCUGAAAGCAUCUAAGCACGAAACUUGCCCCGAGAUGAGUUCUCCCUGAGACUUAGAGUCUCCUGAAGGAACGUUGAAGACGACGACGUUGAUAGGCCGGGUGUGUAAGCGCAGCGAUGCGUUGAGCUAACCGGUACUAAUGAACCGUGAGGCUUAACCUUACAACGCCGAAG